This 427-nucleotide ribosomal RNA is filed under the name uncultured bacterium. RNAcentral describes it as "partial 16S ribosomal RNA". It matches the Rfam family "Bacterial small subunit ribosomal RNA", at positions 355 to 774 of the family's 1533-position model. The record is from RNAcentral.
UGGGGAAUAUUGCACAAUGGGCGCAAGCCUGAUGCAGCCAUGCCGCGUGUGUGAAGAAGGCCUUCGGGUUGUAAAGCACUUUCAGCGAGGAGGAAGGGUAGUGUGUUAAUAGCACAUUGCAUUGACGUUACUCGCAGAAGAAGCACCGGCUAACUCCGUGCCAGCAGCCGCGGUAAUACGGAGGGUGCAAGCGUUAAUCGGAAUUACUGGGCGUAAAGCGCACGCAGGCGGUUUGUUAAGUCAGAUGUGAAAUCCCCGCGCUUAACGUGGGAACUGCAUUUGAAACUGGCAAGCUAGAGUCUUGUAGAGGGGGGUAGAAUUCCAGGUGUAGCGGUGAAAUGCGUAGAGAUCUGGAGGAAUACCGGUGGCGAAGGCGGCCCCCUGGACAAAGACUGACGCUCAGGUGCGAAAGCGUGGGGAACAAACA